Chelonia mydas (Green sea turtle) is the source of this 178-nucleotide long non-coding RNA. RefSeq lists it as uncharacterized. The record is from RefSeq and is a predicted model, not a curated record. Lineage: Eukaryota; Metazoa; Chordata; Testudines; Cheloniidae. The transcript is spliced from 4 exons.
GAGAGUCCAAAGAGCCAGAUAAUCCUGCUGUAAGAGUGCCAAUGCCUGAGACGAUGGGGCGACCAGGAUUUCCAGGUUUAUGGAUCUUGGGUAACAGAUAGAAUACUCCUGGUCGGGGCUCUAAGAGUGUGUCUGUGUAGAUUUGUUCCUGUGCUGUACCAGAGAGUUUCUUGGAGAA